Molecule: ribosomal RNA, 506 nt
Filed under: uncultured bacterium
Lineage: Bacteria
Description: partial 16S ribosomal RNA
Rfam family: Bacterial small subunit ribosomal RNA
Source: RNAcentral
AGUGAACGCUGGCGGUAGGCCUAACACAUGCAAGUCGAACGGCAGCACAGGAGAGCUUGCUCUCUGGGUGGCGAGUGGCGGACGGGUGAGGAAUACAUCGGAAUCUACUCUGUCGUGGGGGAUAACGUAGGGAAACUUACGCUAAUACCGCAUACGACCUACGGGUGAAAGCAGGGGACCUUCGGGCCUUGCGCGAUUGAAUGAGCCGAUGUCGGAUUAGCUAGUUGGCGGGGUAAAGGCCCACCAAGGCGACGAUCCGUAGCUGGUCUGAGAGGAGGAUCAGCCACUCUGGAACUGAGACACGGUCCAGACUCCUACGGGAGGCAGCAGUGGGGAAUAUUGGACAAUGGGCGCAAGCCUGAUCCAGCCAUACCGCGUGGGUGAAGAAGGCCUUCGGGUUGUAAAGCCCUUUUGUUGGGAAAGAAAUCCAGCUGGCUAAUACCCGGUUGGGAUGACGGUACCCAAAGAAUAAGCACCGGCUAACUUCGUGCCAGCAGCCGCCGUAA